Molecule: long non-coding RNA, 630 nt
Filed under: Junco hyemalis (dark-eyed junco)
Lineage: Eukaryota; Metazoa; Chordata; Aves; Passeriformes; Passerellidae
Description: lncRNA (ENSJHYG00000005073.1)
Source: RNAcentral
CAGACUGGCUUUUAACCAGAGGCAGUCAUGUCUAGCAUCCUGCAGGAGUUGAAAACCUACUGUAGCCUUGAGUCAUGGUCCAAAAUAGGAUCUCCACCAUGAAUGUACAUUAUGGGCAAUGUACAGGGAAAAGGGACAGCAGCUCAAACUACUUAUGUGUCGUGAUAAAUGAUUGGCCAGUGUCUCAAAGUGACCUGAAAAAUUACACAGGCUGGACUGGCCAGACUUUCUGAACUGCUGAGUCUGUUUUGUUUGGGCACAUGAUUCAGACCCAGAAAUGAGAAACAACAAGAGGAAGAUCCCAGACCUGCGACGGUUUUGACUUCUGCAAUCCUUUGCUCUCUGCAAGUUGUAAGACAUGUGGGAAUUGUGGCUGCCAGCAGCUGAUGCUCUGUUUUACCCAUCCAACGCAGUAAACCAGUUUGUUUUUCUGUUUGUUGAAAUCCUAUCUGCCCAAACUUCUGAGAGAUGUUUUUAAAGGAUUUUAACAAAGGCCUUUUGCAUGGGAGUCAUUUUGUAUUUUGUGGGCAUCAUCUCAUACAGAGGUAUUUUCUUGAUUAAGUGUAAGUUUUAUUAAGCUCUCUCACUAAAGGAUAUUCCUUCUUCUUCCCCACAUUUCUUUUGCAGUAU